RNAcentral lists this unclassified non-coding RNA (19 nucleotides) under Chlamydomonas reinhardtii. RNAcentral describes it as "small RNA Cre_1091". The record is from RNAcentral. Lineage: Eukaryota; Viridiplantae; Chlorophyta; Chlorophyceae; Chlamydomonadales; Chlamydomonadaceae.
CCGCAGUGUCGGCCGGCAC